UUACGGGAGGCAGCAGUGGGGAAUAUUGCACAAUGGGGGAAACCCUGAUGCAGCCAUGCCGCGUGUGUGAAGAAGGCCUUCGGGUUGUAAAGCACUUUCAGCGAGGAGGAAAGGUUGGCGCCUAAUACGUGUCAACUGUGACGUUACUCGCAGAAGAAGCACCGGCUAACUCCGUGCCAGCAGCCGCGGUAAUA
This 194-nucleotide ribosomal RNA is filed under the name uncultured Pseudomonadota bacterium. Its description in RNAcentral is "uncultured proteobacterium partial 16S ribosomal RNA". It matches the Rfam family "Bacterial small subunit ribosomal RNA", at positions 339 to 525 of the family's 1533-position model. The record is from RNAcentral. Lineage: Bacteria; Pseudomonadati; Pseudomonadota.